UAUCCGGAAUUAUUGGGCGUAAAGGGCUCGUAGGCGGUUCGUCGCGUCCGGUGUGAAAGUCCAUCGCUUAACGGUGGAUCCGCGCCGGGUACGGGCGGGCUUGAGUGCGGUAGGGGAGACUGGAAUUCCCGGUGUAACGGUGGAAUGUGUAGAUAUCGGGAAGAACACCAAUGGCGAAGGCAGGUCUCUGGGCCGUCACUGACGCUGAGGAGCGAAAGCGUGGGGAGCGAACAGGAUUAGAUACCCUGGUAGUCCACGCCGUAAACGGUGGAUGCUGGAUGUGGGGACCAUUCCACGGUCUCCGUGUCGGAGCCAACGCGUUAAGCAUCCCGCCUGGGGAGUACGGCCGCAAGGCUAAAACUCAAAGAAAUUGACGGGGGCCCGCACAAGCGGCGGAGCAUGCGGAUUAAUUCGAUGCAACGCGAAGAACCUUACCUGGGCUUGACUGUUCCCGACAGCCCCA
RNAcentral lists this ribosomal RNA (463 nucleotides) under uncultured bacterium. Its description in RNAcentral is "bacterial SSU rRNA". It matches the Rfam family "Bacterial small subunit ribosomal RNA", at positions 542 to 1002 of the family's 1533-position model. The record is from RNAcentral.